UACGGAGGGUGCAAGCGUUAAUCGGAAUUACUGGGCGUAAAGCGCGCGUAGGGGGCUUGAUAAGCCGGUUGUGAAAGCCCCGGGCUCAACCUGGGAACGGCAUCCGGAACUGUCAAGCUAGAGUGCAGGAGAGGAAGGUAGAAUUCCCGGUGUAGCGUUGAAAUGCGUAGUGAUCGGGAGGAAUACCAGCGGCGAAGGCGGCCUUCUGGACUGACCCUGACACUGUGGUGCGAAAUCGUGGGUAGCAAACAGG
Molecule: unclassified non-coding RNA, 253 nt
Filed under: uncultured Halomonadaceae bacterium
Lineage: Bacteria; Pseudomonadati; Pseudomonadota; Gammaproteobacteria; Oceanospirillales; Halomonadaceae
Description: contains 16S-23S intergenic spacer region
Rfam family: Bacterial small subunit ribosomal RNA
Source: RNAcentral